CACAGCUGCUGGCAUUUCCCUGUUAUUUGCACCCCGACCUUUUAACAUGAGAUCUGGCCGGAUGCGACGAGCAGAGGAUAUACCCCUUGUAUCGGAGUGGUAUAAGGAGCACUGUCCUCCAUCAUAUCNNNNNNNNNNAGGGUUAGCUACCAGAAAUUGUUGAAAUGUUUUGUUUUGAAUGAGCUGCAUCAUAGACCACCCAAAGCACAGAAGAAGAAGCACCUGUUUCGGUCUCUAGCUGCAACC
RNAcentral lists this unclassified non-coding RNA (246 nucleotides) under Hevea brasiliensis (rubber tree). The record is from RNAcentral. Lineage: Eukaryota; Viridiplantae; Streptophyta; Magnoliopsida; Malpighiales; Euphorbiaceae.